UGUGACAUCACAAUGCUCCAAUAUGAUAUCACAAUGCUCCAAUGUGCAAACACUAUCGGACCAUGUUCCAUUAUAUUGCUCCAAUGUGCCAUUACAAUG
Molecule: microRNA precursor, 99 nt
Filed under: Nannospalax galili (Upper Galilee mountains blind mole rat)
Lineage: Eukaryota; Metazoa; Chordata; Mammalia; Rodentia; Spalacidae
Description: miRNA (ENSNGAG00000005847.1)
Source: RNAcentral